GGGGUUUCGGGUUUCGGGUUUGGGGUUGGAAUAUAUGAAGUAGAAAAUUAAAGAUGGGGGUUUGGAAUAUAUGAAGUAGAAAAUAAGGAAUCUGGGGUUUGGGGUUUCGGGUUUCGGGUUUGGGGUUUCGGGUUUGGGGUUUCGGGUUUCGGGUUUCGGGGUUGGGGUUUCGGGUUUCGGGUUUGGGGUUUGGGGUUUGGGGUUUGGGGUUUGUGGUUUCGGGUUUCGGGUUUGGGGUUCUAGGGAUUUAAACAUAACAC
This 260-nucleotide long non-coding RNA is filed under the name Brassica napus (rape). RNAcentral describes it as "long non-coding RNA (BNAP_LNC020616)". Lineage: Eukaryota; Viridiplantae; Streptophyta; Magnoliopsida; Brassicales; Brassicaceae. The record is from RNAcentral.